GUGCUCACUUCGGCAGCACAUAUACUAAAAUUGGAACGAUACAGAGAAGAUUAGCAUGGCCCUGAGCAAGGAUGACACACAAAUUCGUGAAGUGUUCCAUAUUUAA
Molecule: small nuclear RNA, 106 nt
Filed under: Tupaia belangeri chinensis (Chinese tree shrew)
Lineage: Eukaryota; Metazoa; Chordata; Mammalia; Scandentia; Tupaiidae
Source: RNAcentral